Piliocolobus tephrosceles (Ugandan red Colobus) is the source of this 3806-nucleotide long non-coding RNA. RefSeq lists it as uncharacterized. The record is from RefSeq and is a predicted model, not a curated record. The transcript has 2 exons. Lineage: Eukaryota; Metazoa; Chordata; Mammalia; Primates; Cercopithecidae.
CUGCCUAUCUACAUCCCUUGAAUCUGCUCUGCCCACAUUUCUGUUAUUCUUUCCCCAAGUUUCAUAUAACAUACAAAGGGAUCACUCCCUAUGUCCCUUAGCAGAAAAAAAGUGGAUUUGAAAACUGACUCUGGUAUGUACUGCUGUGUACAAGUCAAAUUGCUUAUUUUGAGAGAGAAUACGAUUUCCUGCAGACACUAAUGGUAAAUAUUGUAAACUAAGGAUGUAACCAGGUUUUAAUCCUUUAAAUUUAUUCUCAGAUAAUGGAAAUUGAACAAAUAGCAAAUAAUCAUGUAGUUUGAUUGCUGCUUAUCUGUAACUUAUGGUUAUUCAAUUUCAUAUUUUACACUGCAGUGCAGACAACAUCAAACCUUUCUUGAAAAGCAGCUUCAGCUCAGAUCUGAUCUCAGACAUCAAAAGCCUUGACUCCAAAAUGGUGUGAAUUGGCUGCCAUCUGCUGGACUGGGACACAUAAAGUGAACCAGGAACUCACCUUGACCCAAGACAGGGCCAAGGGAAGGAGGACAGAGAAGAUGUCACAGGUGGGAAGAAUUCAGCAGUGCGAGUUCUUUCCCCUAGGACUGAGCUUCUCAGACUACAGGUAAUCUUCAGUGCUGAAAUUAUGUUUAUUUAGGGAAAUGUAAGAAGAGUUUGGAGCAAGCAGGGACCAGAUCAUGAAAGGUAUCAUUAUUAAAUGCCAUGGUAUUUUGACUGUGUGAGGGGUUUGGAGAGUGAGGAGGCAUUGCAGGGUCUUACCUAGGGAGGUGGAAUGGUCACUUUAGAGACCCUAUUCUGGAAGCAUCUACAUGUGCAUCAAGGUCUCCCAAGGAUAUUAAAAAAUGCAGCAGAUGAUCCAGUGGAACUGAGAUCCUGCGUUUGACAAAGUUCCAGGUGGGGCUAGGAUGGUGGUUCUUGAGGGGUGAUUUCUGCAUCACAAAGUCAGCAUCACCUGGAAAUUUUUAGGAGCUGCAGAUUAUCACCUGACACCAGACCAAACUGAACAGGGAAGCUGGGACCUGGGAUCCUGCAAUUGCCUUUAAAAAAAAUUAAUAGCAGGUUGUGACAGUUAAUCGUAUGUGUCAACUUGACUUGGGUAGAUGGUUAAACACUAUUUCUAGGUGUGUCUGUGAGGGUGUUUCCUACUAAGUUAGCAUUUGAAUUGGUAGACUGAGUGAAGAAGUUUCACCCUAACCCAUGUGGGAGGCAGCAUGCAGUUUGUUGAGGACACAGAUAGAACCAAAAGCAGAGGAAGGGCAAAUUUCCUCUCCCUUCUUGAGCUGGGACCACCAUCUCCUCCUGCCCUUAAACACUGAGUUCUUGGUUCUCAGGCCUUCAGAGUCAGUAACAUACACACCCCCAACACCACCUGUCUGGACUCCUUUGGACUCACAUGAAUGAUACAUUGACUUUCCUGGGUCUUACGCUUACUGAUGGCAGAUGGUGGCAUGUCUCAGCCUCCAUGAUCACAUGAGUCGAUUCCUAAAAUCUUCUUCUCUAUGGAUCCUACUGGUUUCAUUUCUCUGGAGAUCCCUUUAACUCCAGGUGAUUCUGAUGUCCAUUAAAGCUUGGGAACAUUAUUGUUAUUGGCAUAGUUGAAGCUGGAUGGACACAGAUGUGGUCCCAGAAGAUGCUAAGAAGGAAGAGAAUUCUGAGGAGUCACAGUAGUGCUACACAGCCCAGGGCUAAGAGGAGCUCUGAGAACUUUCACCUGCAGCUCUCUGGUGAGAUGUCAGCCAUAUGAACAAACCUGCCCCUAAUAGAGGCUGGGAGAUACAGGGCAGCCAUAGCACAAGAUGUGUUUGGUUGGACAACUGGCUCUUUCCAUCCUGUGUGUAAUAUUUGGACAAGCUAAUCAGGUGUAUACUUGCGUUCAGGCAAAGGAAGCACAUUCAGAGAGAAAUUAGCCUCAUUGACACAAAAUUAUGAAGUGAGGGUCCUAAACAUAUCAUGCUUCCCUAAUCUGAGCACUAAAGUCUUAACUCUAGUAUUAAUGUAUACCCAUCAAGGUGUCUAUUUUGCUAUGAUAGUAUCUCCUAGAAAGGUUCUUUAACUUGGUGUCUGUUGGAGACAAGGGAAGAGUUUGCGCAGAAUGACUGAACCCACACACUGCAGUGAAAACGUUCAACGGUUCAAAGGACACUAUAAAGCUCACGUAGUGGGUCUUGCACGGGUCCGCAGGGCCUUCUCCGUGAUGGGCUGGUUUAACAAUAGUGAGUACUUGAUAAAAGUCACUUGUUCUUAUUUUUUAAUGAGAUAUUACUACAAGGGAUAGAGAAAGCAGUUUGUGAAGUAUAGUGAGUAACUGGCUAAAGGACACUACUGAAGAGAUCAUGUUUGAGUUUAAUGUCAGUGUUUUCAUGUCUUUUUGACAGUAAAAAAUAGGAAAGGGUGGAAAGGAAAUUUUUCUUAUUAAUUAGUUUGUGAUAAAUUCUAGCAGGACAAAUAAACAUGGAAGGGUGGAAUGAAUGAAGGCAUAGAUUAAACAGGUUAGGCUAUGAGUGGAGAAUUGUUUUAGCCUGAUAAUAGGUAUAUGAAAGUUGAGUCUACUUUUGUCUGUGUUAGAAAUUUUCCACAAUAAUAGGCUUAAAAUAAAUGAGUACAGGUAAAACCUAGGAGAAAUAACUCUAGCAGAAAAUUUAAAUAUUUGUCAAAUAAUUUUAAAGGUUAAAAAUAUUCAUUAGCCAGUAAUACAGGCAGAGUGUUUUGACAUGUCUCAAUGUCAUUAAUAUCUUUUGCUUUUAAAUAAAGCAAAACGAAAAAACAGAACUCAUCAGCAAAACAAUUUAGAGAUUGAUAGAAAAAACCCAGAUGAUGUAAAAUAGUUUAAAAAUUUGUCAUUAUAAGUUAGUAUAGCAGUAAUUUGUAUUAAAAAAAUCUAUUUACAUGUCUUUUACCCAAAGUAGCAUUUUUUUGCUAAGAAAAUAUAUUUUUGAUUAGUAAAGAAAUUAAACAUGGAGUAUUUACUUCCCCCAGAAAUGCCUCCCAAGCUCAGAUUUUAUAUUCAUUGGAACUAAAAUGACAAUUUCUAAAGCUUGGUUAUUUUUUUCUAAAGAUGUGUAUUUGAUGACCUUUACUCCACUAGAGGGCUCUGUGGAUAAGAGAAAAUACUUAAAAUCAUAGCAUUUAAAGCCAUCUUAAAUGUAUGCCAUUUUACCAAUUAAUCUCUUGCUAAUUCUUAUUUCAUAUUCAGAUGUAACUUAUUGCUUCUGAAACUGAGUAGUAUAAUUAGCAUCUUUAGAUAUUCUUUUUCUAAUUAAUUAAUUGCUGGUAGUUCUUCUGAGAAAGACGUAUACUAUAAUAUAUGGGUCCUUUUUUCUCUUCAUUAGGACUUAGAAUCACCAACACAUAUAGGCAGUACUUAUUUCCGAAUAUAAAAUACUUUGAUGAGCCAAUGAACUACUUGACAAUUCAGAUGUCUGCUCUCUCAUAAUUUAAUACUACUUCAAGAUUACUUUGAAAACUUUAAUAACAGUAUUAUAACAUAAAAGGUAUGGGUUCUUAGAUGGGAUUUAUAUUUGCUCAGGUAUAUUUUCAUAUUUGUGAGAAUAUUUUUGUCUCAUCUAAUUUUAAAUGACAGAGGCAAGGUUUUUACAUAAAUAAUAGCAUGUUCUGGUAUCCAUCCCUGCAUUUUAAGCAAUCAGGAUUUUAAAAAUUUUUCCCUGUGGACGUUACAGGCCCCACAUUGAGGGAAGGGGAGGAUUCAGUAUCCAGUGUUCAUACAAUGUAUUAUCUAGUAGGCCAAGUUUUCCACACAAAAUUAUAAGGAAUGCAAAGAAAUAGAGAAAAAAAAAAAAAAAAAAAAAAAA